UCUCCAGCUUGCUGGGGGGAUUAGUGGCGAACGGGUGAGUAACACGUGAGUAACCUGCCCUUGACUCUGGGAUAAGCCUGGGAAACUGGGUCUAAUACCGGAUAUGACCAUUCCACGCAUGUGGUGGUGGUGGAAAGCUUUUGCGGUUUUGGAUGGACUCGCGGCCUAUCAGCUUGUUGGUGGGGUAAUGGCCUACCAAGGCGACGACGGGUAGCCGGCCUGAGAGGGUGACCGGCCACACUGGGACUGAGACACGGCCCAGACUCCUACGGGAGGCAGCAGUGGGGAAUAUUGCACAAUGGGCGGAAGCCUGAUGCAGCGACGCCGCGUGAGGGAUGACGGCCUUCGGGUUGUAAACCUCUUUCAGUAGGGAAGAAGCCGCAAGGUGACGGUACCUGCAGAAGAAGCGCCGGCUAACUACGUGCCAGCAGCCGCGGUAAUACGUAGGGCGCAAGCGUUAUCCGGAAUUAUUGGGCGUAAAGAGCUCGUAGGCGGUUUGUCGCGUCUGCUGUGAAAGACCGGGGCUCAACUCCGGUUCUGCAGUGGGUACGGGCAGACUAGAGUGCAGUAGGGGAGACUGGAAUUCCUGGUGUAGCGGUGAAAUGCGCAGAUAUCAGGAGGAACACCGAUGGCGAAGGCAGGUCUCUGGGCUGUAACUGACGCUGAGGAGCGAAAGCAUGGGGAGCGAACAGGAUUAGAUACCUGGUAGUCCAUGCCGUAAACGUUGGGCACUAGGUGUG
This 740-nucleotide ribosomal RNA is filed under the name Arthrobacter sp. RNAcentral's name for it is "bacterial SSU rRNA". It matches the Rfam family "Bacterial small subunit ribosomal RNA", at positions 72 to 824 of the family's 1533-position model. The record is from RNAcentral. Lineage: Bacteria; Bacillati; Actinomycetota; Actinomycetes; Micrococcales; Micrococcaceae.